RNAcentral lists this unclassified non-coding RNA (262 nucleotides) under Hevea brasiliensis (rubber tree). Lineage: Eukaryota; Viridiplantae; Streptophyta; Magnoliopsida; Malpighiales; Euphorbiaceae. The record is from RNAcentral.
CUGUUAGUAGCUUGUCCUUCUUCUAGACUGAGGAGUCUCUCACUUGGACAUUUGACUGCGAAAAUAAAUAAAUAAAGGGAUUUAACUGAGAAACAGAAUAUGCCAAAUCCUCUUAGACUUCCCAAACACUACACGUUAGGGCAUACUAAUAACAACUGGAUGGCAUUAUAUAUAAGGAUAAUUAUAGUUUAAACUCAUUGAUUAAAGUUUUCAUAAUCAUAUAAUUGCAUGACAUUGAUUUUUUGACUAACAUAUAAUCAAG